GAAUUCAGUCAUUCUUAAAGUUUGAUUUGUGAUUUUGUCUUUUCUGAUAGAUUUUGUAAUUUUAUAUCCAGGAUCUUCAGGAGAAUUAAGCGAAACCCAAACUCCUUGUUCUCAACGAACACCUGGCGAACAACAUGAGUCUGCUCCCUCAAGAAGAAGAUGUAGUCCUGCUGCCAGUACUCCUCUCUGCUCCACCUUAUUAAUUCGGGAGAAGUUUCAGACCCAUCAACCUGGAAGUUCACAAGGCUUCAUUGAUAUCCAGCCUACUUUUUGUAUGGCCAAGAAGAGGAAUGAGCGGCCAUUUUCUCAACAACAUGGAUUUUAAGACAGACAAGAUGAUGUAGCCCUGGAGCUGCUGCCAGUACUCCGCCCUACUUACAUAUUUGGGAGAAGAGUUUCAGACCCAUCAACCUGGACGUUCAGAAGGUUUCAUUGAUAUCCAGCCUGUUGGGACAAACCUGGUGGCACACCUAUAAAAUGUGACAACAUGUAACCCAUAUGUCCUCAUGCAGGGAGACAGGCAAAAAUGCUAAAGUUUCGUUAAAAAUGCUCCUUGUUUAAUGGCUGAAAGUUUUACUUGCAGUUUGCUUUAAAACAUACUUUUUACAUGGAAUGUUUUCUAAUAUGUAGUAACAGAUACUUCUGGAGUUAUAGCCAAAUGAGUUGAAGUGAUUUAACUAUACACUUUUGAAACAACUUAUGUUUUGUAACUUUUGUAAAUGAAAUCUGCUGGCUCUAUAUAUGUAUCAUGUGGAAA
This is a non-coding RNA of Poecilia reticulata (guppy), 757 nucleotides long. Lineage: Eukaryota; Metazoa; Chordata; Actinopteri; Cyprinodontiformes; Poeciliidae. The record is from RefSeq and is a predicted model, not a curated record.